Drosophila novamexicana is the source of this 279-nucleotide long non-coding RNA. RefSeq lists it as uncharacterized. The transcript is spliced from 3 exons. NCBI's taxonomy places the organism in Eukaryota, Metazoa, Arthropoda, Insecta, Diptera, Drosophilidae. The record is from RefSeq and is a predicted model, not a curated record.
UUAGAUUUCGUUUUGCAUUUAAGUUUGAGGCAACAGCAUUGCGGCUGCCUCUGACCGCAGCAUACAGAAAACAACACCAUAAAAAAAAAAAAAAAAAAUAACAUUCCCCUCUCAACAAUCAAAUUGGAGGAGCGAGCAGAGACAAUUAAACCGCGUCCCAACUGAGUAUAAAUCCAGCCCGUAGUUGAGCUGUCAAAUUUUUCAUCCACCCAAAAACAUCAAUCUGUACUACAAACGCAAAUAUAUUUCAACAAUUCUUAGUAAAUAUUUAUAUGCAAA